GAUCCUGGCUCAGGAUGAACGCUGGCGGCGUGCCUAACACAUGCAAGUCGAACGAAGCUUGACGGAUGAUUUCUUCGGAAUGAAACCAGAUAUGACUUAGUGGCGGACGGGUGAGUAACACGUGAGCAACCUGCCUUUCAGGAGGGGGAUAACGGCUGGAAACGGUCGCUAAUACCGCAUGAUGUGUUCGGAUGGCAUCAUCUGAACAUCAAAGAUUUAUCNCUGAAAGA
Molecule: ribosomal RNA, 230 nt
Filed under: uncultured bacterium
Lineage: Bacteria
Description: partial 16S ribosomal RNA
Rfam family: Bacterial small subunit ribosomal RNA
Source: RNAcentral